GGUUGGAUGGCCGAGUGGUCUAAGGCGCUGGCUUAAGGUGCCAGUCUCUUCGGAGGCGCGAGUUCGAACCUCGCUCCAGCCA
Transfer RNA from Ordospora colligata OC4, 82 nucleotides. It matches the Rfam family "tRNA". From Rfam's summary of the family: Transfer RNA (tRNA) molecules are approximately 80 nucleotides in length. Their secondary structure includes four short double-helical elements and three loops (D, anti-codon, and T loops). The record is from Rfam. NCBI's taxonomy places the organism in Eukaryota, Fungi, Microsporidia, Ordosporidae.